AAAUCAAUAUAUUUGGAAAUGUAGAAAACUUCCAAAAAUAUUUAAAUAAAUGAUAUUCUAUUAUUGUUUAACAGUGCGAUUUAUUGCAAUUUUUUUUAAUCGCUUGACAGCCCUAAUAUAAACCCCAAGAGCAUUUAAAAUGUAACACAGUAAUUCUGCACUUGACCCCCAUGUGGUAUAUAUAGUACAUUCUCUUUCAAAUAGUUUAAUACUUUCUGAAUAUGUCAUUAUGAAUUAAUUAUGACAUCAUUAAGACAUUAGGAACAGGGUGAGUAGAUCAGUGAUCUUGCAUAUGCCACUGCACAUACUGUGCAUACUAAAUAUAGAGUUUUAUCAUUACUAAAGCUUAUAAUAUAUUAUUAUACAAUGGUUCACCAACAGCCAAAUAUUUACAGUGAUUAUUCCGCUCCCUCAACAGAUGGGAAGGCAGCAGUGUUACAGAAUUUAUGCAUUACCUGCUGUCUCUGUCAGCAUCAUACUAUCUAAUUCUUGGAAAAUUACAAACUAUAACUCUACUUGUUUUGCCAUUGUAGGUAACAUGUUAGGGAAAACAGAUGAUUGCUUUGAUAGCUUUAAAGCUAUCAUGAAUAACUCAUCAAAGAAUGAGAACUAGGAUUACUAACUAUGCAUAAACAAAGAAAGCAGUCUUUCUUGGCACUAGAUGUGUAUUGACUUUGAGAGGAUCAGUGGAGUCUCAGUACCCAAUCGAUAAAGAAAAUGAGAGUUAAUUGAGCUGCUUGAAGAGCUUGAUCUGUGUUCCGACCAGCAUUUCUGAAUAUUCCAGACACAAACUAGGACUCCAGUCUUCAAAGGCACAUGAAAUGAACCUAGCCCCUCCAUUGCAAGGAAAUUAGUAUGUUAACUAAUGGUGUGAUGAUAUAUAUUUAUUUGGAAUGCGUGCAUAGAGUCUGUAAAGAUUUCUUAAAAUGUGCUAGUUACUAUAUGAUUGUAUACAGUGUGUAAUGUUUCCAAAGAGAAGACACCAUUGGCAGAUCUCUUUACAGAUCUGUACUGUGCUUCAUUUCUUUCAGGAAUGUGUAUUGAUGAAAAAUUGGGGAUUAAACCUUCCAAAAGACUUAAGUAAUGGGUUUAUGGGCUAAAUUUAAUGUUCUUACUCUUAGCACCCUCUUCCCUAGUUGUUUUACCUGUCCUGGAGGUAAAGCUGGUAGUUUGAAUCCUCUGCCUCUGGAUAUAGCAGUAAAUUGUCACUGAAAAUAGUCUUGUCAGAACUGAGCCUUGUGAUAUUUUUGACAGCCAAACAAACUGAAAACAUAUCAUGGCUUUUGCUAUAAGGAUGUUCAAAUUCUGUAAUGAAUUUUUAUGCAUUUACAACGGAUGUUUGAUCUAAUGCAUGAAUGUUUUUGGAUGGACUGGACAGAGACUGUUAAACAGCAGGAUUGGAAUUGUCAGAGGAACCUAAAGAGAGUUAGGAACCCAGCUCCCAUUGGAAUUUAAUGGGAUUCGUGUACUUGAUGUCAGGCAUCUUUGUAGCCUAAUUUUUAAAGAUCAGCAUGUUAACAGAAUGCAUAGGUACUGCAUUUGGCCAUCAGAUUGGCACUUAAGCACAUAAAGUGGUAUUUAUAUAUUGAAACAUCAGUCACAGGAUUUGGACUGAUAACAAAUAUUUUGAAGGUCUUUUGAAGGUGUUCACAUUUGAACAUUAGUUACAGGAGAAAACAAUUAUCAACUGUAUGAGAAGACUGAAAACAAAAUUUAACAGUUCCUUAGGUCAGCGGUUCUCAAACUGUGGGUCGCGACCCUGUUUUAAUAGGGUUGCCAGAGCUGGUGUUAGACUUGCUGGGGCCGAAGCAGAAGCCUGAGCCCUACCGCCCAGGGCUGAAGCAGAAGCCCGAGGGCUUCAGCCCUACGUGGCGGGGCUCAGGUUACAGGCCCCCGGCCUGGGGCUGAAGUCCUUGGGCUUCGUCUUUGGGGCCCCUCGUGGUGGGCUUUGCUUUUGGUCCCCUCACCUGGGGUGGUGGGGCUCAGGUGGGCUCAGGCUUUGGUCCCCCCUCCUGGGGUCAUGUAGUAAUUUUUGUUGUCAGAAGGGGUCGCAGUGCAAUGACGUUUGGGAACUCCUGUCUUGGAUGAACUGAUGUGGGUAAAAUUCCAUGUAAGAAAGUGUCGGGCUUUUCAGCAUUAAAGAGCUGAUCAUCUCAACAAAUCACUUUUUAGAAAUAAUGUAGCAACUAUAAAUGGCCUUGUACCAAAUAAGCAAUUAGAUUGGAGAAAGUCUGUAAUCUCCUGUCUUAUUUUAUGUUCUCAUAAUAAUAUGACCAGUGCACUUAAUUUAGCAGAUGUUCUAGCAGAUUUGACGUAUCAUUUGUGACACCUAAAAUACCCUGCAUGAACAUUUGAAAGGAUAUAAAGAAGGUUUUAUAGAUUCUUUUAUUCGUUCUGGCCAUUCAGCUUUGGAAGAGCUAUUGUACUUUGGGGAAGGUACUUCUCAAGUCAAAGAGGGAUAUGAGAUUCAACUGGUGUCUUAGUCUGCUGAGUCAGCCCUUUCUGAAGUUGCCCCUUUCUCUCAGUGAUUGUUUGGAUAUGCUGCUUUUGCUGGCACUGGCUCAGGAAAUCGGAGAAUCAAUGGAACAGAGGUAGUGUCAUCAACCGAAAUAAGAGAAUUUUGGGGAAAAAAUGACGCUAUCACUGAUCUCUGAAGCUGCUGACCUCACAGCCUCUUUGCUCACUCUGAUGCUAUAACCUACUGGGUGCACCCUAUGGUUCCUGGAGCAGCACAGAUUAAACAGAUAUCAUGAAUAACUGGAGUCAAUAAAAAGAGUUUCAAAUAACCUUUCAGACAGGCAGAUGGGGAGAGGACAACAGAGAGCAAAAAAAUUAAUUCACAGCAAAAACAAAUAGUCACUCCUGACAAGAAUUCAGCACACCAGAAGAAUAAAUUAAACAUCUCAGAAUAAAGGGUGUAUGGAAAAGCACCAUCAAACAGCAAUGCACAUGCCAUUAUUUGUUCCUGCAUUACACCCAUUAGGCUUUUUAAACAAAAUUCUGCUUUUGGAGUGUGUUAACCAGCUGUGCAAGAUACUUACAGCAAAAUUUGACAUUAUGCAAAACUUGAUUGUUUUAUUUACAACAUAUAAAAAGCCCUGGAUAUGUUCACUGAAAGUUUGGUGAGGAGCAUGAACCUUUCCAGUGAGCCUGGGCCCAGUUUGGAGUGAAAAUGUUCAUCGGUUUCUGGUUUUGCAUCAAUAUAGUAUGAGACCUGUGGUCUUGAUGUCAAAGCAGGUGAGACUGUAAUUCUGAUGGGAGUUUCACAUUGUGAUUUUGGGUUAAUUCCUGAGUGAGAUCUGAAUGUUCAAGGUCCUGUCUGCUCUGUACAAAUGUUAAAGAUCCCAUAACACUUUAUAGCAGAGUAGGGGUUUGCCUGGGUAUUCUUGGCCAAAAUUUCACUUCCUGUCACUCUUGGUUAUCCCUUUAUGGCUGGAAUUUCCUUCCUUACCUUGUGUGCCAUGCUCUCCUUUAAAACUCUUGAGAACUCACUUUUUGGUUCAGGGCAAAAUUGCUGUUAAAAACUGAAAGACUGGGCUCCAUGUAUCCAGUUUCAACAGAUGAUUUUAUGUAUUCAAAGCACAAGGCAGGAAAGAUUAAUUAACAGAGGGAAUCUAGGAGUUAGUUGAAACUGGAUGCCAAAUAGUAAACCUUCUUUUCUGCUACUUAAAGAUUAUGACCAGAACGCUUGGUGGAACAGCGAAUGCCUUGGCCUUUUGCCCUUAGAGUUUUGAUUUCUAAUUCUGUUUUGGUAACAAAACUACCUUAACAUUAUCUCUGGACUAGAACUGUCGGAGAGUGGUGGUUGUAAAUCAGAACUGAGGUGCUUGUCAGAGCCAUGUGGGGAAAUUCUGAAAGGCCUUGCCUGCACUCUGCCUUCAAAGUAGGACAUACAGCCUCACUGUCUCUCAGAUGAGCCUCUGGGCUUGAGCACUCCUGCUUCACACCAUGAGCUCUGCCCAGCAAGUCCAACUGAGAUAGACUGCUGGUCAGAUUUGUAUACUCUUCAGGGACUCAAGCACCUCAGCAAGUAUAUGCAGUGACACCCAGCAACCUUUUCAAAACAUAGGGAGAUUAGUCAACUGGAACACGGCAUCCCGGUUAGGUUAGGUUAGCAUACAGAAUGAAGGUUACAACAUAGGCCAUUUAGCCAAGCCAGUGCCAUCAGCCAGCCAAGCUGCUAUGAACUCCAUUUCAGGCUCUGUCUCCUGUGUCAGUUCAAGGUGAACCACUCUGAGUUCACAUACCACCUGCUGGAAAUUCCAGAUGUUAAGUGUUGAUUGUUCAGUCCUUGGGGCUUCCACUGUCUCCUGUUCUGCCCCAAGAGGACACACAACCCUUUCCCCCCUACUAAGUAGCCAUACAAAGCACAGUAACAAGGAAUGUGUAGGAUUCAUAAACAUAUUAAAAAAAUCCUACUUCAUCACAGGGGGCACCUUAAUUCUCCAGAAGAUUAUAAAUGUUCCUCCUCAGAUGAUGCCUUGCUGCUGAUGUACUUUCACUUUCUCUUUGUGACAGACAAGACCUCUGAGCUUGUCUGAACAGGUAAUUCCCCACCAUUCUUUCAUCAAUAUCCUUUUAUGGAAGCAUUGACUUGCCAAAACGUGUUUAAACACUAGAUUGAUUGUACUAUGAGAAUUUAAAUAACUAGGGAUGCUUGAUUACCUCCAAGUUGGCUUCAGAGAGCUGUUUGCAUUCCUGCAUUUAUGAGAGAAAAUUUGAGUGCAUGCCUUUUAUUAACUUUUUUUCUUAUGGCCCUCUAUUUCCUCUACGUUGACUUUUUCAUCUUGAGUUACACUUUGUUACAGCAUAGCUGGGAUACUGAGGAUGGUUUUUCCUGCCUCUCUUACUGACUCCAGAUGUUGAUAUUCUCUUGUUUUCACUUUCCUGUUCUUGCUUUUUAAUCUGGGGUUUUUUUUUUACUCUCUCUUUAAUCACUUUGCAUUUUGCUGCACAUCUGUUCCAAAAUAAAAAACAAUUGAUUGGCUCAACAGAGCCAAAAAUUCAGAGAACACUGCAUUAUUUUAUGCAUUCGCUGCAAAUAAAACAAUGUGUUAGUGGAGAAUUUGUUGUUCAAAGGUCAGAAGAAUAAAUUAUAGUUG
Molecule: long non-coding RNA, 5102 nt
Organism: Caretta caretta (loggerhead turtle)
Lineage: Eukaryota; Metazoa; Chordata; Testudines; Cheloniidae
Source: RefSeq, a predicted model, not a curated record